ACUUCAGUAGCUUAUUUACAGAGUAUUAUAUUGAAGAUAUAAUGGAGGAAAUUUAUCCUUGGAGUA
RNAcentral lists this transfer RNA (66 nucleotides) under Alnetoidia dujuanensis. RNAcentral's name for it is "tRNA-Phe". The record is from RNAcentral. Lineage: Eukaryota; Metazoa; Arthropoda; Insecta; Hemiptera; Cicadellidae.